This 301-nucleotide ribosomal RNA is filed under the name uncultured bacterium. Its description in RNAcentral is "partial 16S ribosomal RNA". It matches the Rfam family "Bacterial small subunit ribosomal RNA", at positions 509 to 807 of the family's 1533-position model. The record is from RNAcentral.
CAGCCGCCGCGGUAAUACGUAGGUGGCAAGCGUUGUCCGGAAUUAUUGGGCGUAAAGGGCUCGCAGGCGGUUUCUUAAGUCUGAUGUGAAAGCCCCCGGCUCAACCGGGGAGGGUCAUUGGAAACUGGGAAACUUGAGUGCAGAAGAGGAGAGUGGAAUUCCACGUGUAGCAGUGAAAUGCGUGGAGAUGUGGAGGAACACCAGUGGCGAAGGCGACUCUCUGGUCUGUAACUGACGCUGAGGAGCGAAAGCGUGGGGAGCGAACAGGAUUAGAUACCCGUGUAGUCCCUGUCUCUUAUAC